Long non-coding RNA from Spinacia oleracea (spinach), 480 nucleotides. RefSeq lists it as uncharacterized. Lineage: Eukaryota; Viridiplantae; Streptophyta; Magnoliopsida; Caryophyllales; Amaranthaceae. The record is from RefSeq and is a predicted model, not a curated record. The transcript is spliced from 2 exons.
AGAAAAGCUAAUUAAGGGGGGGGGGGGGGGGGGAUGAGAUGAAGAUCUUAGGUGGUUUGGAACGUGACAUGGAGACAAGGCUCCUCUUGCUUUAUAGUGGAAAUUUGUCAUUCGAAGCUCUGAUACAACACUCAAUCCACAAAGGUUGUACUACAAGUGUGAUCCUUGAAACAAUCUGAGAUGGUGCAAGGGAGUAGUUGAGAAAGAAAACAAGGGGCAACAACACGAAGGAAAAUGCGGGGUAAGCUUAGACGAAGGAGAAAGUAUUGAAAACAGGCGAAACAGUAAGAUGCAAGAAGAAUUGAAGUAAAUGAAGAAGAAGCUAAAACAACAACAAAAAGUAGUCAAAGUUGUAAUACAAAUGGGGAUAUUGAUGUUUGUAAUUUUACUGUUUGUAAUCAUGAAGUAAACACAAGUAAUGAGAAACAAAUUCACAUUUCAUAAAUAAUUGAUGUUGCAUAAUCUGCACAAAAUACCAAA